CCUUAGCUCAGGCGGCCAGAGCGACGCGCUCGUAAUGCGGAGGUCAAGGGUUCGAUCCCCUUAGG
RNAcentral lists this transfer RNA (65 nucleotides) under Streptomyces sp. NRRL WC-3701. RNAcentral describes it as "tRNA-Thr". It matches the Rfam family "tRNA", at positions 5 to 66 of the family's 71-position model. Rfam says of the family: Transfer RNA (tRNA) molecules are approximately 80 nucleotides in length. Their secondary structure includes four short double-helical elements and three loops (D, anti-codon, and T loops). Further hydrogen bonds mediate the characteristic L-shaped molecular structure. tRNAs have two regions of fundamental functional importance: the anti-codon, which is responsible for specific mRNA codon recognition, and the 3' end, to which the tRNAs corresponding amino acid is attached (by aminoacyl-tRNA synthetases). tRNAs cope with the degeneracy of the genetic code in two manners: having more than one tRNA (with a specific anti-codon) for a particular amino acid; and 'wobble' base-pairing, i.e. permitting non-standard base-pairing at the 3rd anti-codon position. Lineage: Bacteria; Bacillati; Actinomycetota; Actinomycetes; Kitasatosporales; Streptomycetaceae. The record is from RNAcentral.